Long non-coding RNA from Anopheles funestus (African malaria mosquito), 2805 nucleotides. RefSeq lists it as uncharacterized. The transcript has 4 exons. The record is from RefSeq and is a predicted model, not a curated record. NCBI's taxonomy places the organism in Eukaryota, Metazoa, Arthropoda, Insecta, Diptera, Culicidae.
UCUUGGACAGCCAUGCUCUCAGGUGUCCGUGCCGGAAGUUAUUCGAGGAACCAAGUUCCUUACCCUGUUUGAUAAAAUAUAAAAUUUUCCUCAUUUUUGAGCGAUUCAGCAAAAUUAAAAAAAAUUAUUUAUUUUAAUGCGAAUUUGUUGCAAUGUGUUUCUUUUCACUCAAACAAUGCUUUCAAUUCAAAAAAUAAUAAAAAAUCAGAAAAAAUUUUUUAAAAAAUUUUCAACUCGAAAAUUUCAUAAGGCUUACCCCUUACGUUUUUUUUGGGAAAUUUUGCAAAAAAAAUGAAAUUGAUUUAUUUUAAUGCCAAUUGGUUGCAAUGUGUUUCUUUUCAUUCAAGUAAUGCUUUAAAUAAAAAAAAAAGUGAAAAAUAAUAAAAAAAUCAAAAAGUUCAAAAAAAUGAAAAUUGACUAAGGCUCAUUUUUGCACCAAGUUUUGCCUAUAACUCGGUCGGUAUCCAACGGAUCGCCAAUCUUUAACUUGUGGUCGAUAGAUGGCACCAAUGGCUACAUUUUCUUCUGGGACAGCCAUGCUCUCAGGUGUCCGUGCCGGAAGUUAUUCGAGGAACCAAGUUCCUUACCCUGUUUGAGAAAAUGUAAAAUUUUCCUCAUUUUUGCAGCAAGUUUUGCCUAUAACUCGGUCGGUAUCCAACGGAUCGCCAAUCUUUAACUUGUGGUCGAUAGAUGGCACCAAUGGCUACAUUUUCUUCUUGGACAGCCAUGCUCUCAGGUGUCCGUGCCGGAAGUUAUUCGAGGAACCAAGUUCCUUACCCUGUUUGAGAAAAUGUAAAAUUUUCCUCAUUUUUGAGCAAUUCAGGAAAAUUAAAAAAAAAAUGAUUUAUUUUAAUGCGAAUUUGUUGCAAUGUGUUUCUUUUCACUCAAAUAAUGCUUUAAAUUAGAAAAAUAAUAAAAAAUCAGAAAAAAUUUUUUAAAAAAUUUUCAACUCGAAAAUUUCAUAAGGCUUACCCCUUACGUUUUUUUUUUGGGAAAUUUUGCAAAAAAAUGAAAUUGAUUUAUUUUAAUCCCAAUUGGUUGCAAUGUGUUUCUUUUCACUCAAGUAAUGCUUUAAAUAAAAAAAAGAGUGAAAAAUAAUAAAAAAAUCAAAAAAUUCAAAAAAAUGAAAAUUGACUAAGGCUCAUUUUUGCACCAAGUUUUGCCUAUGACUCGGUCGGUAUCCAACGGAUCGCCAAUCUUUAACUUGUGGUCGCUAGAUGGCACCAAUGGCUACAUUUUCUACUGGGACAGCCAUGCUCUCAGGUGUCCGUACCGGAAGUUAUUCGAGGAACCAAGUUCCUUACCCUGUUUGAUAAAAUGUAAAAUUUUCCUCAUUUUUGCACCAAGUUUUACCUAUAACUCGGUCGGUAACCAACGGAUCGCCAAUCUUUAACUUGUGGUCGAUAGAUGGCACCAAUGGCUACAUUUUCUUCUUGGACAGCCAUGCUCUCUGGUGUCCGUGCCGGAAGUUAUUCGAGGAACCAAGUUCCUUACCCUGUUUGAUAAAAUAUAAAAUUUUCCUCAUUUUUGAGUAAUUUAGGAAAAUUUAAAAAAAUGAUUUAUUUUAAUGCGAAUUUGUUGCAAUGUGUUUCUUUUCACUCAAAUAAUGCUUUAAAUUAGAAAAAUAAUAAAAAAUCAGAAAAAAAAUUUUAAAAAAUUUUCAACUCGAAAAUUUCAUAAGGCUUACCCCUUACGUUUUUUUUGGGAUAUUUUGCAAAAAAAAUGAAAUUGAUUUAUUUUAAUGCCAAUUGGUUGCAAUGUGUUUCUUUUCACUCAAGUAAUGCUUUAAAUAAAAAAAGAGUGAAAAAUAAUAAAAAAAUCAAAAAAAUCAAAAAAAUGAAAAUUGACUAAGGCUCAUUUUUGCACCAAGUUUUGCCUAUAACUCGGUCGGUAUCCAACGGAUCACCAAUCUUUAACUUGUGGUCGAUAGAUGGCACCAAUGGCUACAUUUUCUUCUUGGACGGCCAUGCUCUCAGGUGUCCGUGCCGGAAGUUAUUCGAGGAACCAAGUUCCUUACCCUGUUUGAGAAAAUGUAAAAUUUUCCUCAUUUUUGCACCAAGUUUUGCCUAUAACUCGGUCGGUAUCCAACGGAUCGCUAAUCUUUAACUUGUGGUUGAUAGAUGGCACCAAUGGCUACAUUUUCUUCUUGGACGGCCAUGCUCUCAGGUGUCCGUACCGGAAGUUAUUCGAGGAACCAAGUUCCUUACCCUGUUUGAGAAAAUGUAAAAUUUUCCUCAUUUUUGCACCAAGUUUUGCCUAUAACUCGGUCGGUAUCCAACGGAUCGCCAAUCUUUAACCUGUGGUCGAUAGAUGGCACCAAUGGCUACAUUUUCUUCUUGGACAGCCAUGCUCUCUGGUGUCCGUGCCAGAAGUUAUUCGAGGAACCAAGUUCCUUACCCUGUUUGAGAAAAUGUAAAAUUUUCCUCAUUUUUGCACCAAGUUUUGCCUAUAACUCGGUCGGUAUCCAACGGAUCGCCAAUCUUUAACUUGUGGUCGAUAGAUGGCACCAAUGGCUACAUUUUCUUCUUGGACGGCCAUGCUCUCUGAUGUCUGUGCCGGAAGUUAUUCGAGGAACCAUGUUCCAUACCCUGUUUGAGAAAAUGUAAAAUUUUCCUCAUUUUUGAGCAAUUCUGCAAAAUUUAAAAAAAUGAUUUAUUUUAAUGCGUAUUUGUUGCAAUGUGUUUCUUUUCACUCAAAUAAUGCUUUAAGUUAGAAAAAUAAUAAAAAAUCAGAAAAAAAUUUUAAAAAAAUUUUCAACUCUAAAAUUUCAUAAGGCUUACCCCUUACGUUUUUUUUGGGAAAUUU